UACUUGUACUGAUUGAGAUUUUAACACGAAGUGAGUGGCGAACGGGUGAGUAACACGUGGGUAACCUGCCCAGAAGUAGGGGAUAACACCUGGAAACAGAUGCUAAUACCGUAUAACAGAGAAAACCGCAUGGUUUUCUUUUAAAAGAUGGCUCUGCUAUCACUUCUGGAUGGACCCGCGGCGUAUUAGCUAGUUGGUGAGGUAAAGGCUCACCAAGGCAGUGAUACGUAGCCGACCUGAGAGGGUAAUCGGCCACAUUGGGACUGAGACACGGCCCAGACUCCUACGGGAGGCAGCAGUAGGGAAUCUUCCACAAUGGACGCAAGUCUGAUGGAGCAACGCCGCGUGAGUGAAGAAGGGUUUCGGCUCGUAAAGCUCUGUUGUU
RNAcentral lists this ribosomal RNA (385 nucleotides) under Pediococcus pentosaceus. RNAcentral describes it as "bacterial SSU rRNA". It matches the Rfam family "Bacterial small subunit ribosomal RNA", at positions 65 to 440 of the family's 1533-position model. The record is from RNAcentral. Lineage: Bacteria; Bacillati; Bacillota; Bacilli; Lactobacillales; Lactobacillaceae.